RNAcentral lists this ribosomal RNA (698 nucleotides) under Volvopluteus gloiocephalus. RNAcentral describes it as "eukaryotic LSU rRNA". The stretch from base 290 to 443 matches the Rfam family "5.8S ribosomal RNA". The record is from RNAcentral. Lineage: Eukaryota; Fungi; Basidiomycota; Agaricomycetes; Agaricales; Pluteaceae.
GUAACAAGGUUUCCGUAGGUGAACCUGCGGAAGGAUCAUUAUUGAAUAAACCAUGGCGGGCAGUCUUGCUGGCCUUUUCCCUCCUCCAGGGAGGAGAGAGGGCAUGUGCACGCUCGUCAAAAGUUUCAUUCGCAUACCCCUUUCCACCUGUGCACACACUGUAGGCCCCGUUAGAAGGGGGGGAGCCUUGGUCCCUCCCCUUUUUCGGACCUACGUUUUACAACCCUACCCCCUCGAAUAUGAUACGAACGUAGUGACUUGGGCCACCGCGCCUAAUAAAACAUAAUACAACUUUCAACAACGGAUCUCUUGGCUCUCGCAUCGAUGAAGAACGCAGCGAAAUGCGAUAAGUAAUGUGAAUUGCAGAAUUCAGUGAAUCAUCGAAUCUUUGAACGCACCUUGCGCUCCUUGGUAUUCCGAGGAGCAUGCCUGUUUGAGUGUCAUAAAUCUCUCAGCUCCCCUCCAGUUUUGUCUGGUAGGAUGGGUUGGAUCAUGGGGGGGAAAACUUUGUCGGCUCCAUUGCGAAUCGACUCCCCUGAAAAGCAUUAGUAGUCCGUGCUGUCUGCCGCCGGUGUGAUAAUAAUCUUUAUGCCGCCUGGUCCAGCAUACACGUUGUCUGCUCCGAACAGUCCGAGCACAAUCUCGGACAUCACAAUUUUAUUUUGACCACUGACCUCAAAGCAGGGAAGAGAACCACC